CAAUAGCGUAUAUUAAAGUUGUUGCAGUUAAAAAGCUCGUAGUUGGAUUUCUGGCUGGAGCGAUCGGUCCGCCCCGCAAGGGGUGUGUACUAGCGUCGUCUCCGACCAUCCUUGUGGGAACUGUGCGGCCGUUAACUCGGUUGUAUAUGGGAACACAUCGUUUACUGUGAAAAAAUUAGAGUGUUUAAAGCAGGCUUAAGCCGUUGAAUACAUUAGCAUGGAAUAAUAAUAUAGGACCUGAGUUCUAUUUUGUUGGUUUCUAGAGCUUAGGUAAUGAUUAAUAGGGACACCUGGGGGCAUUCGUAUUAACGCGUCAGAGGUGAAAUUCUUGGAUUGCGUUACGACGAACUUCGGCGAAAGCAUUUGCCAAGGAUGUUUUCAUUGAUCAAGAACGAAAGUGUGGGGAUCGAAGAUGAUCAGAUACCGU
Molecule: ribosomal RNA, 427 nt
Filed under: uncultured eukaryote
Lineage: Eukaryota
Description: bacterial SSU rRNA
Rfam family: Eukaryotic small subunit ribosomal RNA
Source: RNAcentral